UUCAAGCAGGAUGGCCCAUGCCUGUCAUUUCUACUACUGGGAGAGGCUGAGGCUAGUGGCUCACAGGAUUUUAGGAGUUCUGAGAUGCCAAUUAGAUGUCUGUUUGAGAUGCCAAUCAGGUGUCUAACUAAGUCUAGAAUCAAUUUGGCAAGUCCCUGGAAGUGGAGGGUCACCAGGUUUCCUAAGGAGGGGUGAGCUGGCCCAGGCUGGGGAAUCAGAACAGGUUAAAACAUCAGUGUCAGUCAGCAGUGGGGUUAGGCCUCUGAGUGGCCUUUGUACUUCCAACUUAGACAAAAUAGGGAGACCUAGUCUCAA
This 315-nucleotide signal recognition particle RNA is filed under the name Vombatus ursinus (common wombat). RNAcentral's name for it is "Metazoan signal recognition particle RNA (ENSVURG00010015078.1)". It matches the Rfam family "Metazoan signal recognition particle RNA". From Rfam's summary of the family: The signal recognition particle (SRP) is a universally conserved ribonucleoprotein. Lineage: Eukaryota; Metazoa; Chordata; Mammalia; Diprotodontia; Vombatidae. The record is from Rfam by way of RNAcentral.